Molecule: ribosomal RNA, 443 nt
Filed under: bacterium CPTAC83
Lineage: Bacteria
Description: bacterial SSU rRNA
Rfam family: Bacterial small subunit ribosomal RNA
Source: RNAcentral
UUGUGAACGCGAAGAACCUUACCAGGUCUUGACAUCCUCUGACAAUCCUAGAGAUAGGACGUCCCCUUCGGGGGCAGAGUGACAGGUGGUGCAUGGUUGUCGUCAGCUCGUGUCGUGAGAUGUUGGGUUAAGUCCCGCAACGAGCGCAACCCUUGAUCUUAGUUGCCAGCAUUCAGUUGGGCACUCUAAGGUGACUGCCGGUGACAAACCGGAGGAAGGUGGGGAUGACGUCAAAUCAUCAUGCCCCUUAUGACCUGGGCUACACACGUGCUACAAUGGACAGAACAAAGGGCAGCGAAACCGCGAGGUUAAGCCAAUCCCACAAAUCUGUUCUCAGUUCGGAUCGCAGUCUGCAACUCGACUGCGUGAAGCUGGAAUCGGUAGUAAUCGCGGAUCAGCAUGCCGCGGUGAAUACGUUUCCCGGGUCUUGUACACACGCAAAA